Molecule: ribosomal RNA, 392 nt
Filed under: uncultured bacterium
Lineage: Bacteria
Description: bacterial SSU rRNA
Rfam family: Bacterial small subunit ribosomal RNA
Source: RNAcentral
GGCCUUCGGGUUGUAAACUGCUUUUGUACGGAACGAAAAGGCCCUGGUGAACAACCGGGGUUGCUGACGGUACCGUAAGAAUAAGCACCGGCUAACUACGUGCCAGCAGCCGCGGUAAUACGUAGGGUGCGAGCGUUAAUCGGAAUUACUGGGCGUAAAGCGUGCGCAGGCGGACAUGCAAGACAGAUGUGAAAUCCCCGGGCUCAACCUGGGAACUGCAUAUGUGACUGUAUGACUGGAGUACGGCAGAGGGGGAUGGAAUUCCGCGUGUAGCAGUGAAAUGCGUAGAUAUGCGGGAGGAACACCGAUGGCGAAGGCAAUCCCCUGGGCCAGUACUGACGCUCAUGCACGAAAGCGUGGGGAGCAAACAGGAUUAGAUACCCUGGUAGUCC